Long non-coding RNA from Gasterosteus aculeatus aculeatus (three-spined stickleback), 557 nucleotides. The record is from Ensembl. NCBI's taxonomy places the organism in Eukaryota, Metazoa, Chordata, Actinopteri, Perciformes, Gasterosteidae.
AGCAGCAGAAGAUACAGGAUGCCACAGCACUGUGCUGCUUAUUUCUGCGCUAAUCGGCGGACCAUCGCCAGCAUGGCUCGGGGGAUAACCUUUCACAAGUUUCCAAAGGACAAACAUGUGAGGAAGAAGUGGGAAGUGGCUUUGAGGAGAGAUGGAUUUACAGCUGAUAAGUGAUUCAUCAGUGCUUCGCUGUGAACACUUCAAGCAGACUGAUUUUGAUAAGACGGGUGCUGAGCGCUGCAGAGGGUGAUCUGCCGAGCUUCAACAACCCAAGCUCCUAAGGUGUCGACAGUCACACACAUCGUCCGAGAGGAGAUUGGAACGGAUGAUGUUUUUUUGCUUGGGGAACACAUUGAAGAGACACAGUUUGGCAUCGACAACCAUCAUUCAGACUUCAGUCAUUGGUUGUGUCUGUGUUUCUCAAGCUAAGGCUGCACCACAUUGCCAAACUCACCACUCUGGAACUGCAAAACGGGAGCACGAGAAAGAAGCUCUGCAAGACAGUCCUAUUCCAGGGGUUUUAGUGUGUGUGUGUGUGUGUGUGUGUGUGUGUGUGU